GUGGUCUCUAUCUAUAUUAAUUAAUUAAAUUAUAAAGGCAUUAUGAUAAAACACAGCACAUUUGUGUCCACACUGCUCAUAGUCACACCAAAAUGAAACCAAUUUUUGGCCCAAUCUCUGCCAACUAGUAUCCCAAAUCUUUCUCCCCCUUGUUCAAACAUUCAUUUUCAACUCGAAUAUCCCCCAAACCAAAACUCCAUAAAAUAAAAAAAUAUUCAACAUAAAACAUCUUUCUUUAUCCUAAUAAUCAAUCCCAAAUUAAAACUCCCCUACAAUCUGUCACACGAAUAAUUAGUUCCUACAAUCCGUUCAUGUUAAUGGGUAAUACACAUGUAAUAUAUUCUAAGAGUAGAUGUAUGUAAGCAUAACGGAGAUUAAGUGGGUCAUAGACUGGCGGCACAGCGGGCGGAGACGAAGACUGCUACGCCUGGACUUCAUGCGCCAUAGAGA
RNAcentral lists this long non-coding RNA (450 nucleotides) under Trifolium pratense (red clover). Its description in RNAcentral is "long non-coding RNA (TPRA_LNC003788)". The record is from RNAcentral. Lineage: Eukaryota; Viridiplantae; Streptophyta; Magnoliopsida; Fabales; Fabaceae.